This 397-nucleotide RNase P RNA is filed under the name chicken gut metagenome. RNAcentral describes it as "Bacterial RNase P class A". It matches the Rfam family "Bacterial RNase P class A". Rfam says of the family: Ribonuclease P (RNase P) is a ubiquitous endoribonuclease, found in archaea, bacteria and eukarya as well as chloroplasts and mitochondria. Its best characterised activity is the generation of mature 5'-ends of tRNAs by cleaving the 5'-leader elements of precursor-tRNAs. The record is from RNAcentral.
ACCGAAUAGUCGCGUAUAGCAUGGCCGAAAGGCAGCGUACGAGGAAAGUCCGGGCUCCAUAGAGCAAUGAUGCUGGAUAACGUCCAGUGAGGGCAACCUUAAGGAAAGUGCAACAGAAAAUAACCGCCCUAUAAAGGUUAGAUGAUGAAGGUUAAUACAUGGUUAAUAAUCUUUAGCAUCUAGCUUUUAUAGGGUAAGGGUGAAAAGGUGAGGUAAGAGCUUACCGCUGGCAUGGUGACAUGCUGGGUCCAUGUAAACCCCAUCAGGAGCAACACCGAGCUUAGAAGGUUAAUGGCUGCUCGCCAGUCUUCUUACAUUGGUGGCAUGAUGCAUAUAGCAAUAUAUGUACUAGAUAGAUGACUAUUCAAGACAGAACCCGGCUUAUAGAUUUACUCAU